AGCGAACGCUGGCGGCAGGCCUAACACAUGCAAGUCGAACGAACUCUUCGGAGUUAGUGGCGGAUGGGGGUGUAACACGUGGGAAGGGGCAUUUAGGUUCGGAAUAACUCAGGGAAACGUGUGAUAAUACCGAAUGUGCCCUUCGGGGGAAAGAUUUAUCGCGUUUGGAGCGGCACGCGUCUGAUUAGCUAGUUGGUGAGGUAAAAGCUCAUCAAGGCGACGAUCAGUAGCUGGUUUGAGAGGCUGAUCAGCCACACUGGGACUGAGACGCGGCCCAAACUCCUACGCGAGGCGCGAGAGGGUAAUCUAGCGCAAUCGGCUAAGUGCUGACGCAGCCAUGCUGCUUGAAUGAUGAAGUUCGUAAGAUUGUAAAAUUCUUUCACCGGGGACGAUAAUGACGGUACCCGGAGAAGAAGCCCCGGCUAACUUCGUG
This 433-nucleotide ribosomal RNA is filed under the name uncultured bacterium. Its description in RNAcentral is "partial 16S ribosomal RNA". It matches the Rfam family "Bacterial small subunit ribosomal RNA", at positions 29 to 507 of the family's 1533-position model. The record is from RNAcentral.